RNAcentral lists this ribosomal RNA (483 nucleotides) under uncultured bacterium. RNAcentral describes it as "partial 16S ribosomal RNA". It matches the Rfam family "Bacterial small subunit ribosomal RNA", at positions 30 to 507 of the family's 1533-position model. The record is from RNAcentral.
AUUGAACGCUGGCGGCAGGCCUAACACAUGCAAGUCGAGCGGAGGAAGGGAGCUUGCUCCUGGAUUCAGCGGCGGACGGGUGAGUAAUGCCUAGGAAUCUGCCUGGUAGUGGGGGAUAACGUCCGGAAACGGGCGCUAAUACCGCAUACGUCCUGAGGGAGAAAGUGGGGGAUCUUCGGACCUCACGCUAUCAGAUGAGCCUAGGUCGGAUUAGCUAGGUGGUGGGGUAAAGGCCUACCAAGGCGACGAUCCGUAACUGGUCUGAGAGGAUGAUCAGUCACACUGGAACUGAGACACGGUCCCGACUCCUACGGGAGGCAGCAGUGGGGAAUAUUGGCAAUUGGGCGAAAGCCUGCUCCAACCAUGCCGCGUGUGUGAAGACGGUCUUCGGAUUGUAAAGCCCUUUAAGUUGGGAGGAAGGGCAGUAAGUUACUACCUUGCUGUUUGGACGUUACCAACAGAAUAAGACCGGCUAACUUCGUG